CCGGAUGCACGACCAUCUGUCACCUAUUCGAACAUGCGUCACUGGCAACGGUGGGGUGUGAAGCUUCGAAGACAAUGUACCCCCAUGUUCGUAUGCGGCGUUUUGUUCAUGCGAGUGAGCAAGGCGGAGACUGCCAGCAGAAAGGCGGUUGAGGGG
RNAcentral lists this non-coding RNA (156 nucleotides) under Janthinobacterium sp. TND4EL3. Lineage: Bacteria; Pseudomonadati; Pseudomonadota; Betaproteobacteria; Burkholderiales; Oxalobacteraceae. The record is from RNAcentral.